UAAUUAUUAUCAAUGGCCGCGGUACUUUGACCGUGCUAAGGUAGCGCAAUCAAUUGGCUUUUAAUUGAAGCCAUGUAUGAAUGGAAUCACGGGGUUUAGCUGUCUCUUAACUAAUUUAUCGAAGUUACUAUUUAGGUGAAAAAGCCUGAAGAAAGAAAAAGGACGAGAAGACCCUUAGAGUUUUUCUAAAAUUAGGAUUAUUCCUAAAACAGUUUAGUUGGGGCAACAUAGGAGCAUAUUUAACCUCCUGUAAUAUACUUACCGAUAAUAAUAAAUAUGAAUAAACUACCUUAGGGAUAACAGCAUAAUUUUAUAAAUAAGUU
Molecule: ribosomal RNA, 323 nt
Filed under: Diaulula sandiegensis
Lineage: Eukaryota; Metazoa; Mollusca; Gastropoda; Nudibranchia; Discodorididae
Description: partial 16S ribosomal RNA
Rfam family: Archaeal large subunit ribosomal RNA
Source: RNAcentral